RNAcentral lists this transfer RNA (84 nucleotides) under Roseobacter sp. MED193. RNAcentral describes it as "tRNA-Leu". It matches the Rfam family "tRNA". Rfam says of the family: Transfer RNA (tRNA) molecules are approximately 80 nucleotides in length. Their secondary structure includes four short double-helical elements and three loops (D, anti-codon, and T loops). The record is from RNAcentral. Lineage: Bacteria; Pseudomonadati; Pseudomonadota; Alphaproteobacteria; Rhodobacterales; Roseobacteraceae.
GCCCCCUUGGUGGAAUGGUAGACACACGAGACUUAAAAUCUCCUGGCCAAAUUGGCCGUGCCAGUUCGAGUCUGGCAGGGGGCA